Molecule: transfer RNA, 69 nt
Filed under: Xenosaurus grandis
Lineage: Eukaryota; Metazoa; Chordata; Lepidosauria; Squamata; Xenosauridae
Description: tRNA-Ala
Source: RNAcentral
UUAGGCCUGUAAAACUCUAAUUUACAUCUUCUGAAUGCAACCCAGACACUUUAAUUAAGCUAAAGCCUG